This is a long non-coding RNA of Sinocyclocheilus grahami, 216 nucleotides long. RefSeq lists it as uncharacterized. Lineage: Eukaryota; Metazoa; Chordata; Actinopteri; Cypriniformes; Cyprinidae. The transcript has 2 exons. The record is from RefSeq and is a predicted model, not a curated record.
GUUGUCCUCAGGCCAUUAGGGGAUAAGCCCUCUAGAGGCCGUGGAGGAGGCCGCGGGGCCAGAGGUGGCCGUGGGCGAGGCAUGGGACGUGGAGAUGGCUUCGAUUCCCGGGGCAAACGUGACUUUGACAGACACAGCGGCAAUGACAAAUCUCGACAGAAAGGAGAGGAGAAGCGUGGUGGGAGUGGCUUGCACAACUGGGGCAAUGUGAAGGAA